UCCGGAAUGGUGUAGUGGUUGGAAUUUCUGCCUUUCAAGUUGCACCGAGCAAUGAAAGCUCGCAUGAGACCGGCGUUCAAUUCCCCGUUCCGGAA
Cadophora gregata is the source of this 95-nucleotide non-coding RNA. Lineage: Eukaryota; Fungi; Ascomycota; Leotiomycetes; Helotiales; Ploettnerulaceae. The record is from the annotation of a RefSeq genome assembly.